CAAGUCGAACGAUGAACCUUAGCUUGCUAGGGGGAUUAGUGGCGAACGGGUGAGUAAUAUAUCGGAACGUACCUUGUAAUGGGGGAUAACUAGUCGAAAGAUUAGCUAAUACCGCAUACGCCCUGAGGGGGAAAGUAGGGGAUCUUCGGACCUUACGUUAUAAGAGCGGCCGAUAUCUGAUUAGCUAGUCGGUGGGGUAAUGGCCUACCAAGGCGACGAUCAGUAGCUGGUCUGAGAGGACGACCAGCCACACUGGAACUGAGACACGGUCCAGACUCCUACGGGAGGCAGCAGUGGGGAAUUUUGGACAAUGGGCGAAAGCCUGAUCCAGCCAUUCCGCGUGAGUGAAGAAGGCCUUCGGGUUGUAAAGCUCUUUCGCAAGGGAAGAAAACUUACAUUCUAAUAAAGUGUGAGGCUGACGGUACCUUGAUAAGAAGCACCGGCUAACUACGUGCCAGCAGCCGCGGUAAUACGUAGGGUGCGAGCGUUAAUCGGAAUUACUGGGCGUAAAGCGUGCGCAGGCGGUUUUGUAAGUCAGAUGUGAAAUCCCCGAGCUCAACUUGGGAACUGCGUUUGAAACUACAAGACUAGAAUAUGUCAGAGGGGGGUAGAAUUCCACGUGUAGCAGUGAAAUGCGUAGAGAUGUGGAGGAAUACCAAUGGCGAAGGCAGCCCCCUGGGAUAAUAUUGACGCUCAUGCACGAAAGCGUGGGGAGCAAACAGGAUUAGAUACCCUGGUAGUCCACGCCCUAAACGAUGUCUACUAGUUGUUGGUGGAGUAAAAUCCAUGAGUAACGCAGCUAACGCGUGAAGUAGACCGCCUGGGGAGUACGGUCGCAAGAUUAAAACUCAAAGGAAUUGACGG
This 864-nucleotide ribosomal RNA is filed under the name uncultured bacterium. RNAcentral's name for it is "bacterial SSU rRNA". It matches the Rfam family "Bacterial small subunit ribosomal RNA", at positions 58 to 916 of the family's 1533-position model. The record is from RNAcentral.